RNAcentral lists this ribosomal RNA (21 nucleotides) under Brachythecium buchananii. RNAcentral describes it as "partial 18S ribosomal RNA". Lineage: Eukaryota; Viridiplantae; Streptophyta; Bryopsida; Hypnales; Brachytheciaceae. The record is from RNAcentral.
CGGAAGGAUCAUUGUACACAC